CUGCAGUCGAGCGAACAGACGAGGAGCUUGCUCCUCUGACGUUAGCGGCGGACGGGUGAGUAACACGUGGAUAACCUACCUAUAAGACUGGGAUAACUUCGGGAAACCGGAGCUAAUACCGGAUAAUAUAUUGAACCGCAUGGUUCAAUAGUGAAAGACGGUUUUGCUGUCACUUAUAGAUGGAUCCGCGCCGCAUUAGCUAGUUGGUAAGGUAACGGCUUACCAAGGCAACGAUGCGUAGCCGACCUGAGAGGGUGAUCGGCCACACUGGAACUGAGACACGGUCCAGACUCCUACGGGAGGCAGCAGUAGGGAAUCUUCCGCAAUGGGCGAAAGCCUGACGGAGCAACGCCGCGUGAGUGAUGAUGGUCUUCGGAUCGUAAAACUCUGUUAUUAGGGAAGAACAAAAGUGUAAGUUGAAGGUAGGUUAAGUUAGUACAUAAUCAUGACCCUCACUACUAGCGCAGAGCCAGGACAGAACUAUGAUCUGGGUAGUCAGAAGCAUUAUCAAAAAUUAUUGUACGAAAAGAAGGCGAAGGCGAUUUUUUAAAUCUGAUGAUAAAGCCUCACGGAUCACCCGUGGAGGGUCAUUGGAAAAUGGAAAACUUGAGUGCAGAAGAGGAAAGUGGAAUUCCAUGUGUAGCGGUGAAAUGCGCAGAGAUAUGGAGGAACACCAGUGGCGAAGGCGAAUUUCUUGUCUGUAACUGACGCUGAUGUGCGAAAGGCGUGGGGAUCAAACAGGAUUAGAUACCCUGGUAGUCCACGCCGUAAACGAUGAGUGCUAAGUGUUAGGGGGUUUCCGCCCCUUAGUGCUGCAGCUAACGCAUUAAGCACUCCGCCUGGGGAGUACGACCGCAAGGUUGAAACUCAAAGGAAUUGACGGGGACCCGCACAAGCGGUGGAGCAUGUGGUUUAAUUCGAAGCAACGCGAAGAACCUUACCAAAUCUUGACAUCCUCUGACCCCUCUAGAGAUAG
RNAcentral lists this ribosomal RNA (976 nucleotides) under Staphylococcus sp. 'host CIP 422567'. RNAcentral's name for it is "bacterial SSU rRNA". It matches the Rfam family "Bacterial small subunit ribosomal RNA", at positions 55 to 1009 of the family's 1533-position model. Lineage: Bacteria; Bacillati; Bacillota; Bacilli; Caryophanales; Staphylococcaceae. The record is from RNAcentral.